RNAcentral lists this small nuclear RNA (151 nucleotides) under Zalophus californianus (California sea lion). RNAcentral's name for it is "U4 spliceosomal RNA (ENSZCAG00015022212.1)". It matches the Rfam family "U4 spliceosomal RNA". Rfam says of the family: U4 small nuclear RNA (U4 snRNA) is a component of the major U2-dependent spliceosome. The structure of U4 snRNA from yeast and human has been reported. The record is from RNAcentral. Lineage: Eukaryota; Metazoa; Chordata; Mammalia; Carnivora; Otariidae.
AGAUUUGCGCAGUGGCAGUAUCGUAGCCAAUGAGGUUUAUCCGAGGCGCGAUUAUUGCUAAUUGAAAGCUGAUCACAGAAGCUCAAAUAUUAUUUUUUAAUCCCCCUAAAAUAGUGUUCAUAAUUUCGGAAAGGUUUCUGGAUUAAUAAAU